Molecule: non-coding RNA, 856 nt
Organism: Ictidomys tridecemlineatus (thirteen-lined ground squirrel)
Lineage: Eukaryota; Metazoa; Chordata; Mammalia; Rodentia; Sciuridae
Source: RefSeq, a predicted model, not a curated record
UUCCUCUCUUGUCCUUGAUUUCUUUUGUAUAUACAGCAAAUGAGGGAUGAAGCAUUUUUUAUAUUCAUUUUUUUAAUUUUUUAAUUGUAGUUGGACUAUUUGUUUUUUUAGUGGUGCUGAGGAUCCAACCCAGGGCGUCGCUCAUGCUAGCAGAAUGCUCUCGGCUGAGCCACAACUCCUGCCCAAGCAUUCUUUUUUUUUUUUAAAUUGUGGCAAACAAAGCAAAACAAAACAAAACAAAAAAAAGUAUUAUAAACCUUUCCGUUUCUAUAAUUUUGCAGUGUCAAAUUCAAUGGCAUUAACUAUGUUGACAAUGUUGAGCCAACAUCCACCACCACCUCCUUCCAAAAGUUUUUGAUUGUCCCACUGAAUGUCAUUGUACCCAUGAAGGAACAACUCUCCCUUCCCCCUGCUUCUCAGUCCUGGGAACCCCUAAUCUACUUUCUAUUUCUGUGAAUCUGCCUAAUCCUGUUAUAUCCUCAAGUGGAACCACACAAUGUGUGUCUUGCUUGUUUCAUUUAGCAUCAUGUUUAAGGUUCAUCUAUGUUGUCCCAUGUGCCAGAAUUUAUUCCUUUUUACAGAUGAAAAUAUUCCAUUAUAUGGAUGAAAAUAUUCCAUUGUAUGGAUGAACCACUUGUUGGCAACAAACUCGGUUUGCUUCCAGCUAUCAGAUUCAUUCUGUUCUCUGCUCUGUUAUGUCUCAGGAGACAAACCUGGAUGGGCCUCGUUGACAGGCUCAAGGCUCCUGUCUGACAGUCAUUAACAGGGCUUUUGAGUGGAUAUCAUUUACAGGAUCAGAUGAGAGAGAUUCCGACUUAUCUCUUGCUGACUUAUCUCUCCCUUGCUGGCUUUGGUG